AUUUUGACUAUACAAAGGUAUUGAAAUAAGACUUUAAUUGAGUGCUAAGAGAAUGGAUUAACAAAAAAAUUCUUUUUUAAUUUUAAAAAUUAAAGUUAUUUUUGUUAGUGAAGAAACUACAAUAAAAAUUAAGGACAAGAAGACCCUAAGAAUUUUUAAUAAUUUUGUUAUAAUAAAUAAUAAAAAUUAUUUUAAUUGGGGCGAUUAACAAAAAUAAAAAACUUUGUUUUUUUAAAAAAGAACCACUAUUAUUGGUCUUAUGAAAAAAAUACUCUAGGGAUAACAGCGUAAUAAUUUUUAAUAGUUCAUAUAGACAAAAUAGUUUGCGACCUCGAUGUUGGAUUAGGAUUCUUAACUAAUGAAGAAGUUAGUUAAAGAAGUUUGUUCAACUUUUAAAUUCCUACUUG
RNAcentral lists this ribosomal RNA (407 nucleotides) under Amblyomma sp. ST122. RNAcentral's name for it is "partial 16S ribosomal RNA". The stretch from base 133 to 407 matches the Rfam family "Bacterial large subunit ribosomal RNA", at positions 2078 to 2602 of the family's 2925-position model. The record is from RNAcentral. Lineage: Eukaryota; Metazoa; Arthropoda; Arachnida; Ixodida; Ixodidae.